Notothenia coriiceps (black rockcod) is the source of this 582-nucleotide long non-coding RNA. RefSeq lists it as uncharacterized. NCBI's taxonomy places the organism in Eukaryota, Metazoa, Chordata, Actinopteri, Perciformes, Nototheniidae. The transcript has 2 exons. The record is from RefSeq and is a predicted model, not a curated record.
AUACACAUGAUGGAGGCGUGUUAACACGUAGAGAAAUACACAUGUUGGAGGCGUGUUAACACGUAGAGAAAUACACAUGUUGGAGGCGUGUUAACACGUAGAGAAAUACACAUGAUGGAGGCGUGUUAACACGUAGAGAAAUACACAUGAUGGAGGCGUGUUAACACGUAGAGAAAUACACAUGAUGGAGGCGUGUUAACACGUAGAGAAAUACACAUGAUGGAUGCGUGUUAACACGUAGAGAAAUACACAUGUUGGAGGCGUGUUAACACGUAGAGAAAUACACAUGAUGGAGGCGUGUUAACACGUAGAGAAAUACACAUGUUGGAGGCGUGUUAACACGUAGAGAAAUACACAUGUUGGAGGCGUGUUAACACGUAGAGAAAUACACAUGUUGGAGGCGUGUUAACACGUAGAGAAAUACACAUGUUGGAGGCGUGUUAACACGUAGAGAAAUACACAUGAUGGAGGCGUGUUAACACGUAGAGAAAUACACAUGAUGGAGGCGUGUUAACACGUAGAGAAAUACACAUGUUGGAGGCGUGUUAACACGUAGAGAAAUACACAUGUUGGAGGCGUGUU